Molecule: ribosomal RNA, 253 nt
Filed under: uncultured bacterium
Lineage: Bacteria
Description: partial 16S ribosomal RNA
Rfam family: Bacterial small subunit ribosomal RNA
Source: RNAcentral
UACGUAGGUGACAAGCGUUGUCCGGAUUUACUGGGCGUAAAGAGCGCGCAGGCGGUCGAUCAAGUCGAGUGUGAAAGCCCCCGGCUCAACUGGGGAGGGUCAUUCGAUACUGAUCGACUCGAAGGCAGGAGAGGGUAGUGGAAUUCCUGGUGUAGCGGUGAAAUGCGCAGAUAUCAGGAGGAACACCGAUGGCGAAGGCAGGUCUCUGGGCAUUAACUGACGCUGAGGAGCGAAAGCAUGGGGAGCGAACAGG